RNAcentral lists this ribosomal RNA (433 nucleotides) under uncultured bacterium. Its description in RNAcentral is "partial 16S ribosomal RNA". It matches the Rfam family "Bacterial small subunit ribosomal RNA", at positions 29 to 507 of the family's 1533-position model. The record is from RNAcentral.
AACGAACGCUGGCGGCAUGCCUAACACAUGCAAGUCGAACGAUGCCUUCGGGCAUAGUGGCGCAUGGGUGCGUAACGCGUGGGAAUCUGCCUUUCGGUUCGGAAUAACUCAGGGAAACUUGAGCUAAUACCGGAUAACGUCGCAAGACCAAAGAUUUAUCACCGAAAGAUGAGCCCGCGUAGGAUUAGCUAGUUGGUGAGGUAAAGGCUCACCAAGGCGACGAUCCUUAGCUGGUCUGAGAGGAUGAUCAGCCACACUGGGACUGAGACACGGCCCAGACUCCUACGGGAGGCAGCAGUGGGGAAUAUUGGACAAUGGGCGAAAGCCUGAUCCAGCAAUGCCGCGUGAGUGAUGAAGGCCUUAGGGUUGUAAAGCUCUUUUACCCGGGAAGAUAAUGACGGUACCGGGAGAAUAAGCCCCGGCUAACUCCGUG